This 468-nucleotide ribosomal RNA is filed under the name uncultured bacterium. RNAcentral's name for it is "partial 16S ribosomal RNA". It matches the Rfam family "Bacterial small subunit ribosomal RNA", at positions 28 to 507 of the family's 1533-position model. The record is from RNAcentral.
GACGAACGCUGGCGGCGUGCUUAACACAUGCAAGUCGAACGGAAAGGCCCUGCUUUUGUGGGGUGCUCGAGUGGCGAACGGGUGAGUAACACGUGAGUAACCUGCCCUUGACUUUGGGAUAACUUCAGGAAACUGGGGCUAAUACCGGAUAGGAGCUCCUGCUGCAUGGUGGGGGUUGGAAAGUUUCGGCGGUUGGGGAUGGACUCGCGGCUUAUCAGCUUGUUGGUGGGGUAGUGGCUUACCAAGGCUUUGACGGGUAGCCGGCCUGAGGGGGUGACCGGCCACAUUGGGACUGAGAUGCGGCCCAGACUCCUACGGGAGGCAGCAGUGGGGAAUAUUGCACAAUGGGCGGAAGCCUGAUGCAGCAACGCCGCGUGCGGGAUGACGGCCUUCGGGUUGUAAACCGCUUUCGCCUGUGACGAAGCGUGAGUGACGGUAAUGGGUAAAGAAGCACCGGCUAACUAGGUG